Molecule: RNA transcript, 2038 nt
Organism: Lycium ferocissimum
Lineage: Eukaryota; Viridiplantae; Streptophyta; Magnoliopsida; Solanales; Solanaceae
Gene name: probable galacturonosyltransferase-like 7
Exons: 5
Source: RefSeq, a predicted model, not a curated record
CUGCACUUUGCUUCACCUUCUUCAAAUAAACACAACAGAAACAAAACACAUAAUAAACAAUUACAAUUACAAUUUCACCCAUUUCCAGUAAAAAUGCUUUGGAUUAUGAGAUUCUCAACAUUUUUUACCGCAACAAUGUUAAUAAUCGUCUUUUUUUCACCCACCGAAGCGAUAAAAUCAUCUCAGCCUCACUUCUCGUAUCGUAAAUCCUCUAUUUUCCGCAAUGCACCUGAUUGCACCACCUCAACAAAAACCGCGAAAUCCGAUUCAUUUAUUCAUAUAUCAAUCACACUCGAUAUCGAGUAUCUUCGUGGAUCAAUCGCAGCCGUACAUUCAAUUCUACGCAAUUCUAGAUGUCCAGAAAACAUAUUUUUCCACUUUUUGGUCUCAAAUACAAAUCUCAAACCCCUAAUUCAUUGCAUUUUCCCUAAAUUGAAGUUCAAUGUGUAUUAUUUCAAUCCAAAAAAAGUGCAAAACAUGAUUUCAAGUUCUAUAAGGGAUGCACUUGAACAACCGCUCAAUUACGUUAGAAAUUACUUAGCUGAUCUUCUAGAAGAUUCUAUUCAUAGAGUUAUAUACUUAGAUUCAGAUUUGAUUGUUAUUGAUGAUAUUUUUAAGCUCUGGAAAACGGAUUUGGGGAAUAAGACAAUCGGAGCUCCGGAAUAUUGUCAUGCGGAUUUUACGGCGUAUUUCACGGCCAGAUUCUGGUCGGAUCCCAGGUUUUCCGGCGUAUUCGACGGACGGAAUCCUUGUUACUUCAACACAGGGGUUAUGAUUAUAGAUCUGAAGAAAUGGAGGCGGGUCGGGUACACGAAACGGAUAGAGAAAUGGAUGGAUAUCCAGAAAAGGAUCCGGAUUUAUGAACUUGGUUCAUUACCGCCUUUUUUACUGAUUUUCGCGGGACACGUGGCGCCAAUAGAGCACAGAUGGAACCAACAUGGUUUAGGUGGUGAUAAUGUGAAGGGAAGUUGCCGUGACUUACAUGCGGGUCCAGUUAGUCUACUUCACUGGAGCGGGUCAGGCAAACCGUGGACCCGGCUCGAUUCGAAGAACCCGUGUCCUAUUGAUUUUCAAUGGGCUCAAUAUGAUUUGUAUACACAUUUAAGGUGAAAUUCGUACAGAAACAGAGCCAAAACCCACUGGAAAAGGAGAUGAGAAAGGAGUUGAAGUGUCAGAAGAACGAAUUCUGUGCAUGGAUCGAAUUCGUGAAGAGCUUUCUUGUGCUGUAAGAGUCUCAGCUCAUUCUUGGAUCUUAGUGACCUUUUCCAUCUAUCAGUAAAGUGAUUUUUCAUCAUCUAUUAGCGUUGUUCAAUUGUAUUUGCAUAUUUGUUUGGAGAUUUGUUUUGAACCCAGUACCACUUCUUGUGGACACAGUUUCUGUGGGGAGUGUCUGGGAUCUGCUGCUGAUAUAUGUGGGACGCGAUGCCCCAAGUGCAGGCAGCUUACCAGCGACGGAAGAUCUUGCUCUGUAAACACAGGCCUUUGGAAUACAAUUCAACUACUAUUUCCUAAAGAAGUAGCAGCAAGAAAAGCAGCUUUAAAUGAUGGAGAAGCUGAGCAUCAAAGUUCACUAAGAAUUGCUAGUCAUACUAAUAUUUCAAGAAGCAGAACAGCAUCUAGCGCUCGAAGUCAAAGAAGGAAUUUUCACUCUUCGAGAAUACGAGGUUAUUUCAGGACAGGGAGAUAGUUACCAAAUCAGGAUGAUGCUGCUGCAUUGGCAUGGCAACUGCAGAGAGAGGAUUUCAUGUAGAACUUUAGGACAGACAGAAUUUGAGGGUCGUGGCUCUUAAGGUUUCUAAAUUUUCUUAUACUUCAAACGAGACUAACCUCAGAGUGCAUCGUUGACCAGUCCAGGAGAAUCAAGGAAGCAGUGGAUUUCUUGUGAAUCUUUUCCCCUUAAUUUUGACUCAGUUCUGUUUGCUUUGCAGCUUUACAUGGCGAUCUCUACCUUCUAUGUUUUAUUUAGGAAUUGAUGAACGAAUAUUACUUGUAAAAGAUAUUAUCAAAACUAAAGCCUCUCCUUGCUCAGUUUGAUCAA